Molecule: ribosomal RNA, 305 nt
Filed under: uncultured bacterium
Lineage: Bacteria
Description: bacterial SSU rRNA
Rfam family: Bacterial small subunit ribosomal RNA
Source: RNAcentral
CCUACGGGAGGCAGCAGUGGGGAAUAUUGCACAAUGGGGGAAACCCUGAUGCAGCGACGCCGCGUGGAGGAAGAAGGUUUUCGGAUUGUAAACUCCUUUUAUCAGGGACGAUAAUGACGGUACCUGAAGAAAAAGCUCCGGCUAACUACGUGCCAGCAGCCGCGGUAAUACGUAGGGAGCGAGCGUUGUCCGGAAUGAUUGGGCGUAAAGGGUGCGUAGGCGGCCUGCUAAGUCUGGAGUGAAAGGUACCGGCUCAACCGGUACAGGCUCUGGAAACUGGCGGGCUAGAGAGCAGGAGAGGGCGG